Molecule: ribosomal RNA, 478 nt
Filed under: uncultured Planctomycetales bacterium
Lineage: Bacteria; Pseudomonadati; Planctomycetota; Planctomycetia; Planctomycetales
Description: bacterial SSU rRNA
Rfam family: Bacterial small subunit ribosomal RNA
Source: RNAcentral
UUUCGCAAUGCCCGAAAGGGUGACGAAGCGACGCCGCGUGUGGGAAGAAGGCCUUCGGGUUGUAAACCACUGUCGGGAGUUAAGAAAUGUAAGGGUGUUAAUAGCAUUCUUACUUGACUAAGGCUCCGGAGGAAGCCACGGCUAACUCUGUGCCAGCAGCCGCGGUAAUACAGAGGCGGCAAGCGUUGUUCGGAAUUAUUGGGCGUAAAGAGCACGUAGGCGGCUAUGUAAGUCGGUUGUGAAAGCCUUCCGCUCAACGGGAGAACAGCAUCCGAUACUGCAUGGCUUGAGUGCGGGAGGGGAGAGUGGAACUUCUGGUGGAGCGGUAAAAUGCGUAGAUAUCAGAAGGAACGCCGGCGGCGAAAGCGGCUCUCUGGCCCAUAACUGACGCUGAGUGUGCGAAAGCUAGGGGAGCAAACGGGAUUAGAUACCCCGGUAGUCCUAGCCGUAAACGAUGGGCACUAAGUAGAGGGGUUUU